UACGUAGGGGGCAAGCGUUGUCCGGAAUCAUUGGGCGUAAAGAGCUCGUAGGCGGUUCAGUAAGUCGGGUGUGAAAGCUCCGAGCUCAACUCGGAGAGGCCACUCGAUACUGCUGUGACUAGAAUCCAGUAGGGGAGUGUGGAACUCCUGGUGUAGCGGUGAAAUGCGCAGAUAUCAGGAAGAACACCAGCGGCGAAGGCGGCACUCUGGGCUGGUAUUGACGCUGAGGAGCGAAAGUGUGGGUAGCAAA
This 250-nucleotide ribosomal RNA is filed under the name uncultured archaeon. RNAcentral describes it as "partial 16S ribosomal RNA". It matches the Rfam family "Bacterial small subunit ribosomal RNA", at positions 524 to 772 of the family's 1533-position model. The record is from RNAcentral.